ACAAUUUUGUCAGACUUUGACACAUCGGCAAUCACACGAGCAGCACUCUCCCAGUAUGUCAGAUCUGCAGCUUUGCCAGCACCGAGACCCUGAGUUUUGGUUGGGGUAUUGACCGAAACAAAGACAAUAUCAGCCUCAGAGACAUGCUUCUCAACAUCGGUGCUGAAGAACAGGUUCUUCCCUCGGCACUGCUUUACCACACCAUCAAGUCCAGGCUCAUAGAUGGGGAGCUGGUCACUGUUCCAGGCAUUGAUCCGAGACACAGAGAUAUCAACAACAGCCACUUCAAUGGAUGGGCACUUCAGUGCAAUGACUGCCAUUGUCG
Molecule: long non-coding RNA, 325 nt
Filed under: Citrus maxima (pomelo)
Lineage: Eukaryota; Viridiplantae; Streptophyta; Magnoliopsida; Sapindales; Rutaceae
Description: long non-coding RNA (CMAX_LNC002932)
Source: RNAcentral